UCCAAACUCCUACGGGAGGCAGCAGUGAGGAAUAUUGGUCAAUGGGCGAGAGCCUGAACCAGCCAAGUAGCGUGCAGGAUGACGGCCCUAUGGGUUGUAAACUGCUUUUAUAAGGGAAUAAAGUGAGUCUCGUGAGACUUUUUGCAUGUACCUUAUGAAUAAGGACCGGCUAAUUCCGUGCCAGCAGCCGCGGUAAUACGGAAGGUCCGGGCGUUAUCCGGAUUUAUUGGGUUUAAAGGGAGCGUAGGCCGGAGAUUAAGCGUGUUGUGAAAUGUAGAUGCUCAACAUCUGCACUGCAGCGCGAACUGGUUUCCUUGAGUACGCACAAAGUGGGCGGAAUUCGUGGUGUAGCGGUGAAAUGCUUAGAUAUCACGAAGAACUCCGAUUGCGAAGGCAGCUCACUGGAGCGCAACUGACGCUGAAGCUCGAAAGUGCGGGUAUCGAACAGGAUUAGAUACCCUGGUAGUCCGCACGGUAAACGAUGGAUGCCCGCUGUUGGUCUGAAUAGGUCAGCGGCCAAGCGAAAGCAUUAAGCAUCCCACCUGGGGAGUACGCCGGCAACGGUGCAACUCAAAUGAAUUGACGGA
This 587-nucleotide ribosomal RNA is filed under the name uncultured organism. RNAcentral describes it as "bacterial SSU rRNA". It matches the Rfam family "Bacterial small subunit ribosomal RNA", at positions 330 to 917 of the family's 1533-position model. The record is from RNAcentral.